This 277-nucleotide ribosomal RNA is filed under the name uncultured bacterium. RNAcentral's name for it is "partial 16S ribosomal RNA". It matches the Rfam family "Bacterial small subunit ribosomal RNA", at positions 79 to 354 of the family's 1533-position model. The record is from RNAcentral.
CUUUCUCCGCCGGCGACCGGCGCACGGGUGAGUAACACGUAUGCAACCUGCCCCUGUCAGGGGGACAACCCGCCGAAAGGCGGGCUAAACCCGCGUACAUGCCACCGGGGCAUCCCGGAGGGCAGGAAAGGCUUCGGCCGGACAGGGAUGGGCAUGCGGCGCAUUAGGCAGUAGGCGGGGUAACGGCCCACCUAACCGACGAUGCGUAGGGGUUCUGAGAGGAAGGUCCCCCACACUGGUACUGAGACACGGACCAGACUCCUACGGGAGGCAGCAG